This 1468-nucleotide ribosomal RNA is filed under the name Campylobacter jejuni. Its description in RNAcentral is "partial 23S ribosomal RNA". It matches the Rfam family "Bacterial large subunit ribosomal RNA", at positions 1 to 1339 of the family's 2925-position model. Lineage: Bacteria; Pseudomonadati; Campylobacterota; Epsilonproteobacteria; Campylobacterales; Campylobacteraceae. The record is from RNAcentral.
AAAAAAGGUAAGCUACUAAGAGCGAAUGGUGGAUGCCUUGACUGGUAAAGGCGAUGAAGGACGUACUAGACUGCGAUAAGCUACGGGGAGCUGUCAAGAAGUUUUGAUCCGUAGAUUUCCGAAUGGGGCAACCCAAUGUAUAGAGAUAUACAUUACCUAUAUAGGAGCGAACGAGGGGAAUUGAAACAUCUUAGUACCCUCAGGAAAAGAAAUCAAUAGAGAUUGCGUCAGUAGCGGCGAGCGAAAGCGCAAGAGGGCAAACCCAGUGCUUGCACUGGGGGUUGUAGGACUGCAAUGUGCAAGAGGUAAGUUUAGCAGAACAUUCUGGAAAGUAUAACCAUAGAGGGUGAUAGUCCCGUAUGCGAAAAACAAACCUUAGCUAGCAGUAUCCUGAGUAGGGCGGGACACGAGGAAUCCUGUCUGAAUCCGGGUCGACCACGAUCCAACCCUAAAUACUAAUACCAGAUCGAUAGUGCACAAGUACCGUGAGGGAAAGGUGAAAAGAACUGAGGUGAUCAGAGUGAAAUAGAACCUGAAACCAUUUGCUUACAAUCAUUCAGAGCCCUAUGUAGCAAUACAGGGUGAUGGACUGCCUUUUGCAUAAUGAGCCUGCGAGUUGUGGUGUCUGGCAAGGUUAAGCAAACGCGAAGCCGUAGCGAAAGCGAGUCUGAAUAGGGCGCUUAGUCAGAUGCUGCAGACCCGAAACGAAGUGAUCUAUCCAUGAGCAAGUUGAAGCUAGUGUAAGAACUAGUGGAGGACUGAACCCAUAGGCGUUGAAAAGCCCCGGGAUGACUUGUGGAUAGGGGUGAAAGGCCAAUCAAACUUCGUGAUAGCUGGUUCUCUCCGAAAUAUAUUUAGGUAUAGCGUUGUGUCGUAAUAUAAGGGGGUAGAGCACUGAAUGGGCUAGGGCAUACACCAAUGUACCAAACCCUAUCAAACUCCGAAUACCUUAUAUGUAAUCACAGCAGUCAGGCGGCGAGUGAUAAAAUCCGUCGUCAAGAGGGAAACAACCCAGACUACCAGCUAAGGUCCCUAAAUCUUACUUAAGUGGAAAACGAUGUGAAGUUACUUAAACAACCAGGAGGUUGGCUUAGAAGCAGCCAUCCUUUAAAGAAAGCGUAAUAGCUCACUGGUCUAGUGAUUUUGCGCGGAAAAUAUAACGGGGCUAAAGUAAGUACCGAAGCUGUAGACUUGCACACAACUUAGAUUAUUUAAGUUUAGAAUAUGAGAAACUAAGUUAUAUGUUUAGUUAUAUUUUUACUGAUUUUUAUAGAGUAAAGAUAGAAAUAAAACUUAGUAAAAUCAGUAAAAAUAUUCUUAGACUAAAGUUAAGUAGUUUAAGUUGUGUGCAAGUGGUAGGAGAGCGUUCUAUUUGCGUCGAAGGUAUACCGGUAAGGAGUGCUGGAGCGAAUAGAAGUGAGCAUGCAGGCAUGAGUAGCGAUAAUUAAUGUGAGAAUCAUUAACGCCG